ACUUCAUUGGCUACGCCCGUAGAAGGCACAUGACCACAGCAGUGGACGGGGGUUCGAUUCCCCCCAUCUCCACCA
RNAcentral lists this transfer RNA (75 nucleotides) under Leifsonia soli. RNAcentral's name for it is "tRNA-Val". It matches the Rfam family "transfer-messenger RNA", at positions 298 to 374 of the family's 374-position model. Rfam says of the family: Bacterial tmRNA, also known as 10Sa RNA or SsrA, is named for its dual tRNA and mRNA-like properties. Its role is to liberate the mRNA from a stalled ribosome. The record is from RNAcentral. Lineage: Bacteria; Bacillati; Actinomycetota; Actinomycetes; Micrococcales; Microbacteriaceae.